Molecule: ribosomal RNA, 253 nt
Filed under: uncultured bacterium
Lineage: Bacteria
Description: partial 16S ribosomal RNA
Rfam family: Bacterial small subunit ribosomal RNA
Source: RNAcentral
UACGAAGGGGGCUAGCGUUGCUCGGAAUCACGGGGCGUAAAGCGCACGUAGGCGGCUUUCUAAGUCAGGGGUGAAAUCCUGGAGCUCAACUCCAGAACUGCCUUUGAUACUGGAGAGCUUGAGUCCGGGAGAGGUGAGUGGAACUCCGAGUGUAGAGGUGAAAUUCGUAGAUAUUCGGAAGAACACCAGUGGCGAAGGCGGCUCACUGGCCCGGUACUGACGCUGAGGUGCGAAAGCGUGGGGAGCAAACAGG